RNAcentral lists this long non-coding RNA (2860 nucleotides) under Musa acuminata (dwarf banana). Its description in RNAcentral is "long non-coding RNA (MACU_LNC001881)". Lineage: Eukaryota; Viridiplantae; Streptophyta; Magnoliopsida; Zingiberales; Musaceae. The record is from RNAcentral.
UUGAAGAUGCAUAAUCUACAUCGACAAUUGGCAGGUGCUGGUUCUAAUCUUCAUAUCUGCAUCUAAAAAGGCAGAUCAGCAAAGCGCAUUCACCAGAUAGACAAUUCUCGAUAAUAGUUACAGAAACAUCCUUCAGAAUUCCCUGCAGGUAAAAAGAAAGGGUUCAACCUACAAUGCUAAGCAAAUAAGAUGUCGGCAUAUAUUAUGACUAAUCAGCCAAUCAGAUGGCAAUUGGUAAAAGCCAGCAGCAAAAUGAAGGACCCAUUUAUUCAUUGGGCGCAUCUAAAUAGUCUUGAUAGCCAACAGCAAAAGAGAAGGUGAUUGUUCAAGACGAGUACAAAUUGCACUACAGAAACUUUUAAGGGAAAUGCAGAUUGUUGCAGAGAAUCGUCCUCCAACUCAAGAGACAGCAACCGAAAAUGUGAAAAUUAAUCAGGACAGUAUUCAAUCUAAUGAGCAACUGCAACUGCAAAAUGCAAAUGAAUUGCUGAUUACUUAUUUAAAGGAGCACAGAAAGAUUUUACAUAAUUUGAGCAAAUCUUGUACCAAAUUCUCAGCUGAGACAAAUUUCGGCAGGAGAGUAACUGAUCCAACUUGUAGGCUUUUAAAUUCAUUUCAAUUUAAGUUUCACGCAAUCAAGGAGACAAACUUCGUGAUACAGAAUAAUAUUUCAUCUAAAAGAAACAAGCUAACGAGCUCAUGGAACAUGAUCCCAGAUGCAAGCAUAUAUUCAUGAUUUUGCAUCAUAUAAUAACUUAAAAACUGAAUAAUAAUAAUAAUAAUAGUGAGAACACAUAAAAUUCAUAUGGGACAUGCACAAAGUUGAGCAUAUAGAUUAGCAGACUUGGCACGUCCAACUUUAGUCACUAGGCAAAGAGAGUUAGCUAGUGGCGACAGAUAAUUGUACAUCAGGCAUUCAAUAUAUACAAAUAUAGAGACAAAGGAGGAGGACCAUAUGCUAUAUACAAAAGCAACACCUUGUCAUGCUUGAUUAAGCAACAAAAUGGAACUGUAGUAUUGGGUACAUUUUGUAAUUAAUAAUAGAUAUGACUGCACAAGACAACACGUAACUUGUUUAAGAUUAGGACAAGAUACACUGAUAGGCAAUAAUAAAUUGUACCCCAACUUUUUCACAAUCACACUAACAAGUUCAACUUAUUACAAUCUCAACUCUUUACUGCUGGAUGAAAAAGAUUCUACUGAAUCUGGAGAACUGUAAUGCCACAUGAAAUAUAAAUGUGGUGUAAGAAAAAGAAAGCAACUGUUAUCUUCCAUGUGCUUAUGUAGCAACAAUAUUUUUUUUAUGAUACCAUACUAAGUUAAAUAUGACAAUAGCCAAUGCAGGAUCAUGCUGGCAAACAUAGAAAGAGAAACAGAGACAGCUUUACACAAAAUUUACUAAUAGAGUUGUUCUAAGGGAGGUUGAAUUGGCUACAAAUAAAUGGAGAGUUGAACAUCUGUUUGGAUUUUGUACCAAAAGUCAGAUGCCAAAAAUAGUUUCUAAGGAGACAUCCUAGCGGACAAGGCACAGGAUGUGCAGUCAAGAGUUCGAGCAUGGCUGAAGGUGUCCAGGAUGCAUGUGAUGAUGAACAAAAGAACAUCAUACAACAACAAUGUAUUUUGGAGAAAAUUGUACAUAUAUGGCAUAACUCAUGUCAUGAACAAGCUUAAUAACAAGAAAUAGUUCCUACUAAAAUGACAGACUUCCUUAUCUCACUCAAAAUAAGAAUAACUUUAUCACAAACUGAGAAAAGAAUUAGAAUUCGCAUUAGCUCAUAUUGUGCUUAUAUAUGAUAGUGAAGUUCCAAGAUGAUUAGUUUUUCUGACUAGCCAGCAAGCAAAGACAGACAAGCUUUUCAACACCAUUGGAAGCAUAUAGCAUUUCCAUUACAAUAGUACCACAUUACCAACAUGUAAAAUUCAACAAACCUUGAUAUUUGCAAAAAAUUGCCUUGUAAAUUUAUCUGUGAGGCUUACUAAACAAGAUUUAAUUUUUCAGGUAGCAUACAUGCUGAUUACACUUAGAAAUAAGAUGGAGAAUUGGCAUGCAAACAGAAUUAUAGAACUAUCAGCAUAAAGCAUUCAACAUCCAACUCUAGCAUGCCAAGAAACUAAAAGAUAACUUAAGAAUCACAGCUAGCUAAGCAAGAUGAAAAUUUUCUCUCCGAUGUUAAAUUAGAUAACCUAAAAAUCCUUCUUGACCCCUAUAAACAUCAAAUUCAUCGAAUUUAUUAGCAACUACAUAUUCAUUCCGAUAAACAAUCACCUAAGAAACAAGCAAGAAUCGGGGAAAUCAUGCAACUAACUCUCAAAUGGCGAAACGAUCGUUUGGAACCAGUUUCAAACAGACAAGAGGGUUUCGUAAAACAAAAAAGACCUGAAUUUUCUUCUGUUUUUCUCCUUCCACUUUGUGUUUCCUUUCUACAAACUUUGUGCGUACGAGGAUCAUAGAUCGGCGUGGAGAAGCACAAGUGCUAGUAACCAAGGUGGAAUCCAAGAUAAGGGUUCAGAAUUCGGCUCAAGAUACGGUGGAAGGUAAUCCUACUAACCCUUGAUCUGAAGGGGUAUGAUAGAAAUUUUGUGCGGACUACAUCUGGAUUCAAGGAUCCAAUUCCGACCAUGGAUUGAUCCAUACCCUACUCGGCAUAAGCAAAAGAAAGAUAAGAGGAUUACGGCAGAGGAACUUGCCUUAGGACAAAGGGGUCCGAGGACGUGACGAGGAGGAGAAGCCGUGGUGGCGUCGAUGAGGGGGCGAUCACAGACGAUGCCCCGGCGACAGAGGGACGCGACAAGCGGCGGAAGUGGAACGGGCUCCACGGAUAUCGUUGAGGUGGGCCGGUCGACCCUGAUAAACACACAC